GAUGAGCGCUGGCGGCGUGCUUAACACAUGCAAGUCGAACGAUGAAGCCCAGCUUGUUGGGUGGUUUCGUGGCGAACGGGUGUGUAACACGCGAGUAACCUGCCCCUAACUCUGGGAUAAGCCUGGGAAACUCGGUCUAAUACCGGAUAGGAGCGUCCAUCGCAUGGUGGGUGUUGGAAAGAUUUAUCGGUUUUGGAUGGACUCGCGGCCAAUCAGCUUGUUGGUGAGGUAAUGGCUCACCAAGGCGGAGACGGGUAGACGGCCUUGGAGGGGGACCGGCCACAAUGGGACUGAGGCACGGCGCAGACGCCUACGGGGGGCAACGGUGGGGAAUAUUGCACAAUGGGCGCAAGCCUGAUGAGGCGGCGCCGCGGUAGGGAAGACGGCCUUUGGGGUGUAAACCUCUUUCAGUAGAGAAGAAGCGAGAGUGACGGUACCUGCAGAAGAAGCACCGGCUAACUACGUG
This 466-nucleotide ribosomal RNA is filed under the name uncultured bacterium. RNAcentral's name for it is "partial 16S ribosomal RNA". It matches the Rfam family "Bacterial small subunit ribosomal RNA", at positions 28 to 507 of the family's 1533-position model. The record is from RNAcentral.